This 484-nucleotide ribosomal RNA is filed under the name uncultured bacterium. RNAcentral's name for it is "partial 16S ribosomal RNA". It matches the Rfam family "Bacterial small subunit ribosomal RNA", at positions 28 to 523 of the family's 1533-position model. The record is from RNAcentral.
GACGAACGCUGGCGGCGUGCUUAACACAUGCAAGUCGAACGAUGAUGCUGGAGCUUGCUCCAGUUGAUUAGUGGCGAACGGGUGAGUAACACGUGAGCAAUCUGCCCUUGACUCUGGGAUAACUGCGGGAAACUGUAGCUAAUACCGGAUACUUUCACCGGAAGGCAUCUUCUGGUGAUGAAAGAAUUUCGGUCAGGGAUGAGCUCGCGGCCUAUCAGCUUGUUGGUGAGGUAACGGCUCACCAAGGCGACGACGGGUAGCCGGCCUGAGAGGGGGACCGGCCACACUGGGACUGAGACACGGCCCAGACUCCUACGGGAGGCAGCAGUGGGGAAUAUUGCACAAUGGGCGCAAGCCUGAUGCAGCAACGCCGCGUGAGGGAUGAAGGCCUUCGGGUUGUAAACCUCUUUUAGCAGGGAAGAAGCGAAAGUGACGGUACCUGCAGAAAUAGCACCGGCUAACUACGUGCCAGCCGCCGCCGUAA